This 301-nucleotide ribosomal RNA is filed under the name uncultured bacterium. Its description in RNAcentral is "partial 16S ribosomal RNA". It matches the Rfam family "Bacterial small subunit ribosomal RNA", at positions 509 to 807 of the family's 1533-position model. The record is from RNAcentral.
CAGUAGCCGCGGGAAUACAGAGGGUGCGAGCGUUAAUCGGAUUUACUGGGCGUAAAGCGUGCGUAGGCGGCUUCUUAAGUCGGAUGUGAAAUCCCUGAGCUUAACUUAGGAAUUGCAUUCGAUACUGGGAAGCUAGAGUAUGGGAGAGGAUGGUAGAAUUCCAGGUGUAGCGGUGAAAUGCGUAGAGAUCUGGAGGAAUACCGAUGGCGAAGGCAGCCAUCUGGCCUAAUACUGACGCUGAGGUACGAAAUCAUGGGGAGCAAACAGGAUUAGAUACCCCAGUAGUCCCUGUCUCUUAUAC